RNAcentral lists this ribosomal RNA (506 nucleotides) under uncultured bacterium. Its description in RNAcentral is "partial 16S ribosomal RNA". It matches the Rfam family "Bacterial small subunit ribosomal RNA", at positions 28 to 523 of the family's 1533-position model. The record is from RNAcentral.
GAUGAACGCUAGCUACAGGCUUAACACAUGCAAGUCGAGGGGUAACGAGAGGAAAGCUUGCUUUCCUUGUCGACGACCGGCGCACGGGUGAGUAACGCGUAUCCAACCUGCCCCCAACUAGGGAAUAACCUUGCGAAAGUAAGACUAAUACCCUAUAAUUUCCUCAGAUGACAUCUGACGAGGAAUAAAGAUUUAUCGGUUGUGGAUGGGGAUGCGUCUGAUUAGCUUGUUGGCGGGGUAACGGCCCACCAAGGCAACGAUCAGUAGGGGUUCUGAGAGGAAGGUACCCCACAUUGGAACUGAGACACGGUCCAAACUCCUACGGGAGGCGGCAGUGAGGAAUAUUGGUCAAUGGGCGGAAGCCUGAACCAGCCAAGUAGCGUGCAGGAUGAUGGCCCUAUGGGUUGUAAACUGCUUUUAUACAGGAAUAAAGUUAGCCACGUGUGGUUAUUUGUAGGUACUGUAUGAAUAAGGACCGGCUAAUUCCGUGCCAGCCGCCGCGGUAA